Molecule: ribosomal RNA, 465 nt
Filed under: Vreelandella stevensii
Lineage: Bacteria; Pseudomonadati; Pseudomonadota; Gammaproteobacteria; Oceanospirillales; Halomonadaceae
Description: partial 16S ribosomal RNA
Rfam family: Bacterial small subunit ribosomal RNA
Source: RNAcentral
CCUACGGGUGGCUGCAGUGGGGAAUAUUGGACAAUGGGGGCAACCCUGAUCCAGCCAUGCCGCGUGUGUGAAGAAGGCCCUCGGGUUGUAAAGCACUUUCAGUGAGGAAGAACGCCUGGUGGUUAAUACCCAUCAGGAAAGACAUCACUCACAGAAGAAGCACCGGCUAACUCCGUGCCAGCAGCCGCGGUAAUACGGAGGGUGCGAGCGUUAAUCGGAAUUACUGGGCGUAAAGCGCGCGUAGGUGGCUUGAUAAGUCGGUUGUGAAAGCCCCGGGCUCAACCUGGGAACGGCAUCCGGAACUGUCAAGCUAGAGUGCAGGAGAGGAAGGUAGAAUUCCCGGUGUAGCGGUGAAAUGCGUAGAGAUCGGGAGGAAUACCAGUGGCGAAGGCGGCCUUCUGGACUGACACUGACACUGAGGUGCGAAAGCGUGGGUAGCAAACAGGAUUAGAUACCCCAGUAGUC